This 6342-nucleotide unclassified non-coding RNA is filed under the name Lytechinus variegatus (green sea urchin). Its description in RNAcentral is "uncharacterized LOC121408709, transcript variant X2". The record is from RNAcentral. Lineage: Eukaryota; Metazoa; Echinodermata; Echinoidea; Temnopleuroida; Toxopneustidae.
GUAAACGGGAAGCUGAUUUAUUGGAAAUUUAUGAAGCAUUUGACUAAGACUUAAUGCAAAUACAUAUGCAAAUGAGGUUUAUUUCUAGUCUCUUUUCAAGACGUUUUAAAGAUUAUGUGGAUUAAUUAUAAACCGUUUUUUCUUAUAUAGAUGAGGUUUAAGCAUUUGUUUACAUCAUCCACUAUAUACAGAUGAAUAUUUAUAUUUAUAUUUCAAGUUGUUUUAAAGAAGAAAAGAAGUAUUUCUGGUAUGUAAAUGACAACAGAUAAUUCUUUGUGUCAAAUCAUUGGACAUAUGUUUAUGAUGCUUUUCCGUUUUCUGUCUUUACAGAUUGAAUAAAAUAAGGUAGUGAGCCUGCCUGACUAUACAGUUUAAAGCGGCCUUUUCUGGUGUCUGUUAUCUCUGAGUCUUCGACGAUCCAUCAAUUCAAUUUCUUCAAUUUCUAUGAUCUGGGAGAGGUCUGAAGGUCACCACGAGAAGUCUGCUGUCUGGAUCUGACGACUCUUCACAUCAGGGAUCAGAAGUCUUAAAGAGAUAUGUCAGUUGAGAAAGUCAAGUCUCUGCGCCUGCAGAGGAGAGGGGCAAAAGCCAAGUUGUCCAGGUAUGGAAAGGCCCUUCAGAGCCUGAUCAAUGAUCAGAGACCUGUACCAGAAGUACAGGAGAUGUUUGAACAGUAUGCUGGUGCCUUUGAUGAUCUUCAGAAUAAGCAUGCUAGUUAUACCGAAGUGGUAGAAGAUGACGACGAAUUCGAAAAGGAAGAGUUGUGGAUGGACGAGUGCCAUAAUUCGUUCAUGAAGCUACAGAUCAUCGAAAGGGACUAUUGCAAGGUUGAUGAAAGUUUCAGGGAAGUAACGCAACCCCAGGAACAUCAGCAAGGUGCAUCGGCCAGGUAUUAUCAGAGUUUAGAAGCAACGUUGUCAGCCGAUGAACAGCAAGAUGAGUCACCCAGAGAGGCAGGUCAGCCUGCUGAUGCAGGAAGGAGAAUGAAAGGAUCUGCUUAUAAGAUGGAGAGGCCUAAACUGCCAAGCUUCGAUGGCAACAUCCGAGAUUACUGUAUCUUCAAGGCUGAUUUUCUCCAUGCUGUUGGAAAUCAGUACGAUGAUAGAGAUGCCCUCAUGAUUCUCCGCUCUUGUCUUCAGAGCAAGCCCUUGCAGUUGGUUAAAGGGAUAGGACAAGACUAUACCGCAGCCUGGGAGCAACUAGAUAUGAUUUACGGGGAUGAGCGGUUUGUAGCUGACGCCAUCAUCAAUGAUAUUUCCAAGGUCAGACCAUUAAAGACGGGAGAAUCUGACAGGUUCUGUGAAUUCGUUCACCUUGUUCGAAGGAGUUACAACACCUUAAAGGAGAUAAACCAACCAGGGAACCUAGACAACAGCCACAUGCUUGCCAUAAUGGAAAAAAAGCUUAGCCCGGAAGACCGACUGGUUUGGUUUAGACACCAAGAAACAUGUGGCAAGGCAAGCUUCGAUUUGUUCCUCACCUGGCUUACAAUCGAACUGAAGUCCAGAAUGAGAGCGUCGGCCCCAGUAAGAAGUGAUAGUAAGUCAGGUGGUGUUCAUAUAGUAGGAAAGGCAGUACCCAAUGAAGAAACCAAAUUCCAGCCUUUUCACAAGUGUUGGAUCUGCGAGACUUCGUCACAUUGGUUGGAUCAGUGCAAGAAGUUCUUAGCCAUGUCACAGAUAGAUAGGCUUCAACUAGUCAAGACCAACCAUGCAUGUUUCAGCUGUUUGAAGAAGGCUGGGAAAGAACACAGAAUGUCCAACUGCAAACGAAGACGUAGGUGCAGUGAAACAAGUGCUGGGGAACCAUGUAAAUACUUCCACCAUCCCCUCCUACACGCAUCAACAGAAGUCAGAGGUGGAAAUGUAGAUGUUGCCUUUGCGGGCAACUCGGAAGCACUGCUGCCUAUUGUUACAGUCGAGAUCUUGGGGCAGCGAGGAGCAGUCUGUGAGGGAAAUGUGCUCUUGGACUCUGGAGCACAAGUAAGUCUAAUCAAGAAGUCUGUUGCUGAGGAACUGAAGCUGAAGGGAAGCAACAUCAGCAUCACCAUUACCAAGGUCGGUGGAGAGCAAGAGCAGAUGGAAACCCAACAACAUCAACUGAAAGUGAAGUCCCUCUCUACUAAUGCCAUCCAUUCGGUGACAGCAGUGGCAUUACCAUGUAUUAGUGAGAACAUUGCAGAGGUGAAGAUGGAUGCAAUGGCCAAGCUGUUUAAUCUGAAGUCCGGUGAUCUACGAAGAGGAAGUGGGUCAGUUCAUCUUCUCAUUGGCAUAGACUACCCAAAGAUGCAUAUGGGUAAGUCAAGACAGAAGGGACAGUUAGCAGCUCGUAAAUCUCCACUGGGCUGGGUUAUCUUUGGUGCUCCCAAGAAAAGCAGUGACAGGAUGAAUGUGCUGCAUGUGAAGUUGACAACUCCUAUCGACUUGACUGAUUUCUGGAGCUCAGAAUCCAUGGGAGUGCAGUCCAGCUCCUGUCAUUGCGAGCCAAGUCCCUUGAGUAAGCAGGAGAAGGAAGAAGAGCAGAUCAUCAGAGAGUCUAGCAAAAAGGUUGGAAAUAAAUGGGAGAUUGCUUAUCCUUGGAGAAAAGAUCCCAACCUACUUCCUGACAAUCGAGCACAAGCAGAGAAGGUACUGUGUUCAACAGAGAAAAGGCUUGCACGAAACCAGGACCAUGCAGAUGCCUAUGUUAAACAGAUGAAAGAACUGGUAGAGAAUGGAUUUGCUCGUAAGUUAACAGAGAAUGAAGUAGAUCAGUAUGAGGGUCCUAUUCACUACAUAUCCCACCAUGCUGUUCUGCGACCUGAGAAGAGAAGCACACCUGUACGCAUCGUAUUCAAUUCAUCAUCAUCAUAUCACGGUCAUUGCUUAAAUGACUAUUGGUUCAAGGGUCCAGACCUCCUGAAUGAUCUUUUGGGGGUGCUGCUGAGAUUCCGGAUGAAUGAAGUUGGAUUCUGCGGAGACAUUUCUAAGAUGUACCACAGGGUCUCGAUUCCUGAGAGAGAUAUGAAUGUACACCGGUACCUGUGGCGAGACAUGCAGACCGAUAGAAAGCCAGAUGUUUACAUUAUGAAAGUGGUUACGUUUGGAGACAAGCCAGCGCCAGCUAUGGCCCAGCUGGCAUUGAGAAUGACAGCGGAAGCAGCAGAAGCUACACAUCCGAAAGCAGCACAGGUGUUGAAGGAGAGUGUCUACAUGGACGACAUUUGUGACUCAGUUAGAGAAGUGAGUGAAGCAGAGCAGCUUACAAGUGAAAUUGACCAGGUACUUCAGGAAGGUGGCUUCAAAGUCAAAGGCUGGACCAGCAAUGAAGCAUUGAAAGGAGAAAGUAAAAAGGAAGGGGAAACCAGAAUCCUUGAAGCUGCCCUGGAAGACAAAGUGCUGGGAAUAGCAUGGGAUAACCAGCAAGACAUGUUCUUCUACAAAGUAAAGGAGACAGUUCCCAGUUCUCCUAAUGAUGGGAAAGAUGAAGAGAGUCUGCUUACCAAGAGAAAGGUCCUGAGCAGAAUUGCACGAAUAUUCGAUCCAAUAGGCUUUGCCGCUCCCGUACUAGUUCGUGCAAAAAUUGGAAUGCAGCAGCUGUGGCAGAGAGGAUACGAUUGGGAUGAACUGUUACCUUCCGAUCAACAGAAGUGGUGGGUGACAUUCUUGAAAGAGAUGCAGGACUUAAAUAACGUCAAAUACGAGAGAUGUCUUACUCCACCGAUGGCUAUCGGUCAACCCACACUAUGCAUAUUUGCAGAUGCAUCUGAGGUAGCAUUUGGAGUCUGCGUAUAUUUGCAGUGGAAACUAGAAGAUGGUAAAUAUGCUGUUAGAUUUGUACUAGCCAAAUCUCGAGUCGCUCCUCUGAAGAAGAUUACUGUACCUAGACUAGAGCUUCAGGCGGCAGUGAUGGCUGCAAGAGUCUACACAACUGUCAUGAAAGAACUGAGGCUGCAGCCUGAGAGUGUCAUCUUCAUGACUGAUAGCAUGAUCGCCCUAUCUUGGAUUCGAAGUGAGGGUAGGAGAUUCAAGCCAUUCGUUGCAGCAAGGAUUGGUGAAAUCCAAAGCCAUACCAACCCUGCACAGUGGAAGUAUGUCCCAGGAGAGCUUAACCCAGCUGAUGACGUCUCUAGAGGUCUGCCAGUAAAGAAGCUCUCAGAAAGAUGGAAGCAAGGACCUGCGUUCCUGUACAGACCUAAAGAGGAAUGGCCGUCAGAAAAGGCUGUUCCAGACACAGAAACAGAGGUUGAAUCAGAACGACGCAAGGUCAAUCACAUCUCAGCCAAACAAAAUGAUGUGAUAGAUGUCAAGAAAUUCUCAAGCUGGAGAAAACUAAUCCGAGUGACAGCCUAUGUCUUGAAGUUCGUCGAGAAACUGAAAGCUGCACGUUGGAUAAGGUCUGAUGACAAUGUCGAUCCUGAUGAAAGAUGCUUAUCGACAGCCCAGUUGCAGAAAGCUGAACGCUUUUUGAUUAAGGAAGCCCAAACUACCUUGCAUCAACGGGUAAAGAAUGGAGACUUCAAGACACUAAGCCCGUUUGUAGACAAAGAGGGAAUUAUCAGAGUCGGUGGACGGCUAGACAAGGCUCAGAUAUCUUAUGAGCAAAGACAUCCAGCUUUGCUGCCAUAUGGUGCAUGGAUAUCAACGCUGAUCACAAGACAUAUGCAUCAGCUAGGACAUGGUGGUGUGGCAGCUACAGCAGCAAAGAUAAGACGCCAAUACUGGAUCCUGCAGAUUCACAAGCUGGCAAAGACUGUGAAGUAUAGGUGCGUGAUGUGUCGACGCAUGGAGCAUCAGGUGGAGUCACAAGUCAUGUCUGAUCUACCAGAUGAGAGAGUUGCCCCGUUUACACCACCAUUUUACUUCUCAUCUGUGGACUAUUUCGGGCCAAUAUCAGUUAAGGUAGGGAGGAACAAGACCGCCAAGCACUAUGGGGUCCUCUUCUCCUGCCUGAAUACAAGAGCCAUACAUCUUGAAGUGGCUGUUGAUUGCACGUCCAUGGAGUUCAUGCAGGUGCUACGGAGGUUUUUCGCCAUGAGGGGUCAACCUGCAUUCAUACUGAGCGACAACGGCACACAGUUCGUCGGUACUGAAAGAGAGUUACGUGAGAUGGUGCAAGGUUGGAGCUCUGAGGAGUUAAGAGAUUUCUGCGCUGAGAGAGGAACGACGUGGAAGUUCACAACUCCAUCUGCACCACAUCACAAUGGGUGUGCUGAGGCGCUAGUGAAGAGCUGCAAGAUUGCCCUGAAGAAAGCUAUCGGGGAUCAACUGCUCACACCCUUCGAGCUGCACACCUGUCUCCAAGAGGUCGCUAAUCUCGUCAACCAGCGACCCAUUGGAAGAGCACCAAAUGAUCCUGAUGAUGGGACAUAUCUGUGUCCAAACGAUCUACUCCUUGGAAGAUCUUCGAGCGCGGUUCCUCAAGGUCCCUUCAGAGAGACGAAGAACCCAAGACAUCGCUUCGAAUUUGUCCAGCGAAUCGUCGACGCUUACUGGAAGAGUUGGAUGCGUGACGUCUUUCCACUACUGGUUCCGCGUCGAAAAUGGAACAAUGACAGACGCAAUGUCCGAAUCGAUGACGUGGUAAUUCUGGCUGACCAUAAUGCAGUUCGAGGAAAGUGGACAUUGGGUAGAAUCAUCCAGGUGUACCCUGGAACUGAUGGGAAGGUUCGAACAGUAAAGGUCAAAUCUAAAGGUUGUGAGUAUAAGCGACCAAUCUCGAAGAUUGUUGUAAUCUAUCCAACAGAAGGGUAUGACGAUGAGUAAAAAGGGAGUUAAUCCAAUUAUGUUGGCUCUAUUAUCUCGCUAAACGAGGUAAUUUGUGAAUUUUGUGAUACGUUUGAACAUGUUGAAUUUUGUACAAGCAAAAAUUUUAUUAACGCACAGUUGUUAAAAAGCUCAAAAUUGGAAGCUUGGGAUAUAUUUGUGACAAGUACAAUUUUGAAGUGAAUAUUUUUCAUCAAGUUUGUUAAACAUUGUUCUUUUACAGUGAAGGGAUAUUGACCUGUUUUCCGCUAUGGUUGGCGGGGGGAGGAUGGUUUGCAGAGCAAACCUUGAAACUAUAUUUUGUAAUUUGUCGAUUUUUGCUCCUUGUAUUUUUCAAGUUCGAUUUUGUCACUUUCGUGCUACCAUGAAGUUUUUGUUUAUCUUUUGCCGAUUCUGCUCAUGAAUAUGUAAAUUUAGAUGCCAUUUUGAUUUUGUCAAGCACUGACGUUCGAGGGACGAAAGUCUCUUAAUUUGUAUCAAGUUGGCCAGGAAAUGCCGCCCAAGAAAUUGAAUAAAAUAAGGUAGUGAGCCUGCCUGACUAUACAGUUUAAAGCGGCCUUUUCUGGUGUCUGUUAUCUCUGAGUCUUCGACGAUCCAA